UUGUGGUUAAAAAGCUCGUAGUUGGAUCUCGGCGGACUGAGGGCGGUUUGCUUGCUAGUAUUACUGCCCUAUAGUCCGUAGUUUUGCCAGAGGUUUCGGGGUGCUCUUAAUCGAGUGUCCCGGGAUGCUGGCAGGUUUACUUUGAAAAAAUUAGAGUGCUCAAAGCAGGCUAUUACGCCUGAAUAUUCGUGCAUGGAAUAAUAGAAUAGGAAGUCGUUUCUAUUUUGUUGGUUUUCGGAAAUCGACUUAAUGAUUAAUAGGGACAGUCGGGGGCAUUUGUAUUCAAACGACAGAGGUGAAAUUCUUGGACCGUUUGAAGACAAACUACUGCGAAAGCAUUUGCCAAGAAUGUUUUCAUUAAUCAAGAACGAAAGUUAAAGGUUCGAAGGCGAUUAGAUACCGCCCUAGUUUUAACCAUAAACGAUGCCAGCUAGCGAUCUGCGGACGUUUUUUUUGUAGACUCCGCAGGAAGCUUCCGGGAAACCAAAGCAUUUGGGUUCCAGGGGAAGUAUGGUUGCAAAGCUGAAACUUAAAGGAAUUGACGGAAGGGCACCACCAGGAGUGGAGCCUGUGGCUUAAUUUGACUCAACACGGGAAAUCUCACCAGGCCCGGACACUGGAAGGAUUGACAGAUUGAUAGCUCUUUCUUGAUUCGGUGGGUGGUGGUGC
Molecule: ribosomal RNA, 669 nt
Filed under: uncultured marine eukaryote
Lineage: Eukaryota
Description: SSU rRNA
Rfam family: Eukaryotic small subunit ribosomal RNA
Source: RNAcentral